CCUACGGGAGGCAGCAGUGGGGAAUAUUGGGCAAUGGGCGCAAGCCUGACCCAGCAACGCCGCGUGAAGGAAGAAGGCUUUCGGGUUGUAAACUUCUUUUGACAGGGAAGAGUAGAAGACGGUACCUGUCGAAUAAGCCACGGCUAACUACGUGCCAGCAGCCGCGGUAAUACGUAGGUGGCAAGCGUUGUCCGGAUUUACUGGGUGUAAAGGGCGUGUAGCCGGGUUGACAAGUCAGAUGUGAAAGCCUGGGGCUUAACCGCAGAACUGCAUUUGAAACUGUUGAUCUUGAGUACUGGAGAGGCAGACGGAAUGCCUAGUGUAGCGGUGAAAUGCGUAGAUAUUAGGAGGAACACCAGUGGCGAAGGCGGCCUGCUGGACAGCAACUGACGGUGAGGCGCGAAAGCGUGGGGAGCAAACAGGAUUAGAUACCCGAGUAGUC
Molecule: ribosomal RNA, 442 nt
Filed under: uncultured bacterium
Lineage: Bacteria
Description: partial 16S ribosomal RNA
Rfam family: Bacterial small subunit ribosomal RNA
Source: RNAcentral